CUUGAGUUAUAAAUAUAAGAGGUCCAGCCUGCCCAGUGAUUAAAUUUAACGGCCGCGGUAUCCUAACCGUGCGAAGGUAGCGUAAUCACUUGUUCUUUAAAUGAGGACUAGUAUGAAUGGCACCACGAAGGUUUUACUGUCUCCUUUUCCUAAUCAGUGAAACUAAUCUUCCCGUGAAGAAGCGGGAAUAAGCGAAUAAGACGAGAAGACCCUAUGGAGCUUUAAACACAAUAACAAAUACUACUUUAAACAAAAAUUUCUUAAUGACUUACUCCCUGGUAUUAUGAUUAUUAGUUUUAGGUUGGGGUGACCGCGGAGAAAAACACAACCUCCACAUUGAAUGAUAAAAUUCUAAGCAAAGAAUCACAUUUCCACGCAUCAAUACAUUGACAUCAAUUGACCCAAUUAUUUUGAUCAACGAAC
Molecule: ribosomal RNA, 423 nt
Filed under: Atelopus flavescens group sp. ABGD cluster 1
Lineage: Eukaryota; Metazoa; Chordata; Amphibia; Anura; Bufonidae
Also listed under: 1 other name
Description: partial large subunit ribosomal RNA
Rfam family: Bacterial large subunit ribosomal RNA
Source: RNAcentral